Neopsephotus bourkii (Bourke's parrot) is the source of this 1185-nucleotide long non-coding RNA. RefSeq lists it as uncharacterized. The record is from RefSeq and is a predicted model, not a curated record. The transcript has 3 exons. Lineage: Eukaryota; Metazoa; Chordata; Aves; Psittaciformes; Psittacidae.
CCCAGAUCCGCAGAGAUCCUAUCCCUUCUCCUCCCAGCGGAAGGCAGCACUUCCUCAAGACGUCAAAACCAGAUCUGAGCCCGUUCACAGCUCGUGAAAAUACUUUGUACUUCCUCUUGCUGUUUUGAGGGUUAAAUAAGGUUAAAAGUUGCAAGAGUGGCUUAGCAGCGCUUGGUCUCCCCUAAAAGACAAGUCUGAAGAAUAGUCACAUGGGCAACUGGAACCAGGAGAGAGAACUGAACCUUAGAUUCUCAGAUAGCAGGUUAAUGUUCUCUUUUACUUCUUUUUCUGGGGCAUGCCUUCUGACUGCUGUGUAAUGGGCAUGCCUUUAGCUGGAUGCUUUUACAAAAGAAGAGGCAGCUGUCACCCAUCAUCUGGAAAUACUCUUGACUCCAUUAGUGCAUGUUAUGUGUAUGCACUCAGAUUGUCUGCGCUGAGUGCAUCAGUUACUUAGCCAGAAGAAUAUUUUGAUUCUUGAUACCAAUAGUAAAUAGGAGCUAGAAAAGUCCAACUUUUAAAUCCUACCAAAACAAAGGGACCAUUAUAUAUUGAUGAAAUGAACUGUAGAACAUCUACAUAGCUUUAGCAUCACAUACUGCACUAAAGACUGAAGUUGAACAGCCUGUAGUGGCAUGGCAGGCAAGUGACACAUUUCAGAUUCUCAGCUUUGCACAAUGAUGUUAGAGACCAGGAAAUAAUUGUUUAACCGGCUACUUAUAUAUUAUCCAAGCCAACAGUAGCUAUCUGUGCUAAACUGUUACGCUAGUGGUGGUGUGAGAUAAAUCGAGUUUGAGGCACAUUAGUAGGUUUCAGAUUCCUCAGUGAAGUAAUCUCUUACUCCUUGGACUUUGUGAGGGAUCUCAUAUACUGCCCAAGUUUUGUCUUUGAAGAAGUGUAAGAUUCCCAUUAAAAUUCUGUCUCAUGACUACCAGCCCCAUCCCAAUGUUUCAAACACCUUAAACUUUCUCAGAUGAAAGAAUGCCCUUGCAUUUACACAAGUGAAUCGUGCCUCUAAAUGUAGGUAUACAGACACCUGCAUGUUAUUAGAUGUUAAUUAGGUGCCUAUUCUCCCAUUACAGUCAGUAGUAGGGUCCAGGCCUGAUGCUUUCAUACACUUGUCUUGCAUAUCAUGAGAAACAGGUAGGUGCCUACAGUCAGUUCCGUGGUGAGCAACACAAUGGACCA